UUUUUGCAUGCAGAAAAGUGUUCACUAAUCUUUGUUAAAUAUGGAAAAUGUGUUCAAUUUUUAUCUUAAUUAGUGUCCCAUCCUCAACAGAAAGUUACAUUUACAUCUACACAGAAAGCUUUGAGGAAGAAGAUAUAGAACAGAAAAAUCACGAAAUCUUCGGAAAAUGAUUAAGGAAAAACCUCUUAAGUAUGCAAAAUAUCUACAAAAGAGAGAAAAAGAGACAAAAGCAAGAAUAAAGAAGAAAAAAAAAGAGAAAACAAUUACAGCGGCAAAAGCCGAAUGAGAGCAACUCAGUCGGCGUUACAUAAAAGGAUUUUUUACUUCGACUGCAGUUAAUUUAGCGCAAGUUAUCAAAUAAAAAAAAGACUUUCUGAAUCUUCAAACAGAAAAAACAAAAUGUGACGAAGUAAAUAGAAUCUCUCUCCCUACUCUACGAAUGUAUAAACACUUCAUUUUAUAAACAUUUAAACUAAAUGUUUCAUUUCUUAAUUUCCAAACUUCAAAAAUGCUAAUGUUUUUAAUGUAGGUGUGUGUUAAGCAGCAUGAUGCUUAUCUUUUAAAAAAAUUUCCGUGCGUUUAAAAAAAUACUAGAACGCUCAUUAAAGUAAUUUUCUUAAAACAUUAUUUUUU
This is a long non-coding RNA of Parasteatoda tepidariorum (common house spider), 633 nucleotides long. NCBI's taxonomy places the organism in Eukaryota, Metazoa, Arthropoda, Arachnida, Araneae, Theridiidae. The record is from RefSeq and is a predicted model, not a curated record.